Molecule: ribosomal RNA, 510 nt
Filed under: uncultured bacterium
Lineage: Bacteria
Description: partial 16S ribosomal RNA
Rfam family: Bacterial small subunit ribosomal RNA
Source: RNAcentral
GACGAACGCUGGCGGCGUGCUUAACACAUGCAAGUCGAACGAAGAGCGAUGGAAGCUUGCUUCUAUCAAUCUUAGUGGCGAACGGGUGAGUAACGCGUAAUCAACCUGCCCUUCAGAGGGGGACAACAGUUGGAAACGACUGCUAAUACCGCAUACGAUCUAAUCUCGGCAUCGAGGAUAGAUGAAAGGUGGCCUCUACAUGUAAGCUAUCACUGAAGGAGGGGAUUGCGUCUGAUUAGCUAGUUGGAGGGGUAACGGCCCACCUAGGCGAUGAUCAGUAGCCGGUCUGAGAGGAUGAACGGCCACAUUGGGACUGAGACACGGCCCAGACUCCUACGGGAGGCAGCAGUGGGGAAUCUUCCGCAAUGGACGAAAGUCUGACGGAGCAACGCCGCGUGAGCGAUGACGGCCUUCGGGUUGUAAAGCUCUGUUAAUCGGGACGAAAGGCCUUCUUGCGAAUAGUGAGAAGGAUUGACGGUACCGGAAUAGAAAGCCACGGCUAACUACGUG